CCUGGCGGUGCGCCUUAUGCAUGCAAGUCGAGCGAAGCUUUUCAGUAGUUUACUACAGAAAAUGACUGAGCGGCGAACGGGUGAGUAACGCGUGAGCAAUCUACCUUAGUUACAGGGAUAGCCCGAGGAAACUCGGAUUAAUACCUGAUAUUCUUUAUUACUCGCAUGAGAAUAAAAGGAAAGGUCAGCCGAACUAAGAUGAGCUCGCGUUCUAUCAGCUAGUUGGUGAGGUAAAAGCUUACCAAGGCUACGACGGAUAGCUGGUCUGAG
RNAcentral lists this ribosomal RNA (270 nucleotides) under uncultured Gram-positive bacterium. Its description in RNAcentral is "partial 16S ribosomal RNA". It matches the Rfam family "Bacterial small subunit ribosomal RNA", at positions 36 to 296 of the family's 1533-position model. The record is from RNAcentral.